Molecule: ribosomal RNA, 253 nt
Filed under: uncultured bacterium
Lineage: Bacteria
Description: partial 16S ribosomal RNA
Rfam family: Bacterial small subunit ribosomal RNA
Source: RNAcentral
UACGAGGGGGGCAAGCGUUGUUCGGAUUUAUUGGGCGUAAAGGGUGCGUAGGCGGUUUGGCAAGUCUUGUGUGAAAUCUUUGGGCUCAACCCAUAGCCUGCAUUAGAAACUGUCGGGCUCGAGUCCGGGAGAGGUGAGUGGAACUGCGAGUGUAGAGGUGAAAUUCGUAGAUAUUCGCAAGAACACCAGUGGCGAAGGCGGCUCACUGGCCCGGUACUGACGCUGAGGUGCGAAAGCGUGGGGAGCAAACAGG